Molecule: ribosomal RNA, 474 nt
Filed under: uncultured Hydrogenophaga sp.
Lineage: Bacteria; Pseudomonadati; Pseudomonadota; Betaproteobacteria; Burkholderiales; Comamonadaceae
Description: bacterial SSU rRNA
Rfam family: Bacterial small subunit ribosomal RNA
Source: RNAcentral
UUAAAUGAAUUGACGGGACCCGCACAAGCGGUGGAUGAUGUGGUUUAAUUCGAUGCAACGCGAAAACCUUACCACCUUUGACAUGUACGGAAGUUGCCAGAGAUGGCUUCGUGCUCGAAAGAGAGCCGUAACACAGGUGCUGCAUGGCUGUCGUCAGCUCGUGUCGUGAGAUGUUGGGUUAAGUCCCGCAACGAGCGCAACCCUUGUCAUUAGUUGCUACGAAAGGGCACUCUAAUGAGACUGCCGGUGACAAACCGGAGGAAGGUGGGGAUGACGUCAAGUCCUCAUGGCCCUUAUAGGUGGGGCUACACACGUCAUACAAUGGCUGGUACAAAGGGUUGCCAACCCGCGAGGGGGAGCCAAUCCCAUAAAGCCAGUCGUAGUCCGGAUCGUAGUCUGCAACUCGACUACGUGAAGUCGGAAUCGCUAGUAAUCGUGGAUCAGAAUGUCACGGUGAAUACGUUCCCGGGUCUU